RNAcentral lists this unclassified non-coding RNA (348 nucleotides) under soil metagenome. Its description in RNAcentral is "partial contains 5.8S ribosomal RNA, internal transcribed spacer 2, and large subunit ribosomal RNA". The stretch from base 1 to 120 matches the Rfam family "5.8S ribosomal RNA", at positions 35 to 154 of the family's 154-position model. The record is from RNAcentral.
GAUGAAGAACGUAGCGAAAUGCGAUAAGUAAUGUGAAUUGCAGAAUUCAGUGAAUCAUCGAAUCUUUGAACGCACAUUGCGCCCGCCAGUAUUCUGGCGGGCAUGCCUGUCUGAGCGUCAUUUCAACCCUCAUGCCCCUAGGGCGUGGUGUUGGGGAUCGGCCAAAGCCCGCGAGGGACGGCCGGCCCCUAAAUCUAGUGGCGGACCCGUCGUGGCCUCCUCUGCGAAGUAGUGAUAUUCCGCAUCGGAGAGCGAUGAGCCCCUGCCGUUAAACCCCCAACUUUCCAAGGUUGACCUCAGAUCAGGUAGGAAUACCCGCUGAACUUAAGCAUAUCAAUAAGCGGAGGG